This 404-nucleotide ribosomal RNA is filed under the name uncultured bacterium. RNAcentral's name for it is "bacterial SSU rRNA". It matches the Rfam family "Bacterial small subunit ribosomal RNA", at positions 355 to 776 of the family's 1533-position model. The record is from RNAcentral.
UGGGGAAUCUUGCACAAUGGGCGCAAGCCUGAUGCAGCCAUGCCGCGUGAGUGAAGAAGGCCUUAGGGUUGUAAAGCUCUUUCACCAGAGAAGAUAAUGACUGUACCUGGAGAAGAAGCCCCGGCUAACUCCGUGCCAGCAGCCGCGGUAAUACGGAGGGGGCUAGCGUUGUUCGGAAUUACUGGGCGUAAAGCGCAUGUAGGCGGAUGAUCAAGUUGGGGGUGAAAGCCCGGGGCUCAACCCCGGAACUGCCCUCAAAACUGGUCGUCUCGAGUACGGGAGAGGUGAGUGGAAUUCCUAGUGUAGAGGUGAAAUUCGUAGAUAUUAGGAAGAACACCAGUGGCGAAGGCGGCUCACUGGCCCGUUACUGACGCUGAGGUGCGAAAGCGUGGGGAGCAAACAGG